GGGUUGUGAGGUUAAGCGACUAAGCGUACACGGUGGAUGCCCUGGCAGUCAGAGGCGAUGAAGGACGUGCUAAUCUGCGAAAAGCGCCGGCGAGGUGAUAUGAACCUUUGACCCGGCGAUGUCCGAAUGGGGAAACCCAGUGCAAUUCGUUGCACUAUCGUUAACUGAAUACAUAGGUUAACGAGGCGAACCGGGGGAACUGAAACAUCUAAGUACCCCGAGGAAAAGAAAUCAACCGAGAUUCCCCCAGUAGCGGCGAGCGAACGGGGAGCAGCCCAGAGUCUGAAUCAGCUUGUGUGUUAGUGGAAGCGUCUGGAAAGUCGCACGGUACAGGGUGACAGUCCCGUACACGAAAGCACACAGGUUGUGAACUCGAAGAGUAGGGCGGGACACGUGGUAUCCUGUCUGAAUAUGGGGGGACCAUCCUCCAAGGCUAAAUACUCCUGACUGACCGAUAGUGAACCAGUACCGUGAGGGAAAGGCGAAAAGAACCCCGGCGAGGGGAGUGAAAAAGAACCUGAAACCGUGUACGUACAAGCAGUGGGAGCACCUUCGUGGUGUGACUGCGUACCUUUUGUAUAAUGGGUCAGCGACUUAUAUUCUGUAGCAAGGUUAACCGUAUAGGGGAGCCGAAGGGAAACCGAGUCUUAACUGGGCGUUAAGUUGCAGGGUAUAGACCCGAAACCCGGUGAUCUAGCCAUGGGCAGGUUGAAGGUUGGGUAACACUAACUGGAGGACCGAACCGACUAAUGUUGAAAAAUUAGCGGAUGACUUGUGGCUGGGGGUGAAAGGCCAAUCAAACCGGGAGAUAGCUGGUUCUCCCCGAAAGCUAUUUAGGUAGCGCCUCGUGAACUCAUCUUCGGGGGUAGAGCACUGUUUCGGCUAGGGGGCCAUCCCGGCUUACCAACCCGAUGCAAACUACGAAUACCGAAGAAUGUUAUCACGGGAGACACACGGCGGGUGCUAACGUCCGUCGUGAAGAGGGAAACAACCCAGACCGCCAGCUAAGGUCCCAAAGUCAUGGUUAAGUGGGAAACGAUGUGGGAAGGCACAGACAGCCAGGAUGUUGGCUUAGAAGCAGCCAUCAUUUAAAGAAAGCGUAAUAGCUCACUGGUCGAGUCGGCCUGCGCGGAAGAUGUAACGGGGCUAAACCAUGCACCGAAGCUGCGGCAGCGACGCUUAUGCGUUGUUGGGUAGGGGAGCGUUCUGUAAGCCGUUGAAGGUGUCCUGUGAGGGGUGCUGGAGGUAUCAGAAGUGCGAAUGCUGACAUAAGUAACGAUAAAGCGGGUGAAAAGCCCGCUCGCCGGAAGACCAAGGGUUCCUGUCCAACGUUAAUCGGGGCAGGGUGAGUCGACCCCUAAGGCGAGGCCGAAAGGCGUAGUCGAUGGGAAACAGGUUAAUAUUCCUGUACUUGGUGUUACUGCGAAGGGGGGACGGAGAAGGCUAUGUUAGCCGGGCGACGGUUGUCCCGGUUUAAGCAUGUAGGCGGAACGAUUAGGUAAAUCCGGUCGUUUAUUAACGCUGAGGUGUGAUGACGAGGCACUACGGUGCUGAAGUAACAAAUGCCCUGCUUCCAGGAAAAGCCUCUAAGCAUCAGGUAACAUCAAAUCGUACCCCAAACCGACACAGGUGGUCAGGUAGAGAAUACCAAGGCGCUUGAGAGAACUCGGGUGAAGGAACUAGGCAAAAUGGUGCCGUAACUUCGGGAGAAGGCACGCUGAUAUGUAGGUGAAGCCCCUGCGGGUGGAGCUGAAAUCAGUCGAAGAUACCAGCUGGCUGCAACUGUUUAUUAAAAACACAGCACUGUGCAAACACGAAAGUGGACGUAUACGGUGUGACGCCUGCCCGGUGCCGGAAGGUUAAUUGAUGGGGUUAGCGGCAACGCGAAGCUCUUGAUCGAAGCCCCGGUAAACGGCGGCCGUAACUAUAACGGUCCUAAGGUAGCGAAAUUCCUUGUCGGGUAAGUUCCGACCUGCACGAAUGGCGUAAUGAUGGCCAGGCUGUCUCCACCCGAGACUCAGUGAAAUUGAACUCGCUGUGAAGAUGCAGUGUACCCGCGGCAAGACGGAAAGACCCCGUGAACCUUUACUAUAGCUUGACACUGAACACUGGUCCUUGAUGUGUAGGAUAGGUGGGAGGCUUUGAAGCGUGGACGCCAGUCUGCGUGGAGCCAACCUUGAAAUACCACCCUUUAAUGGCUGGUGUUCUAACGUAGACCCGUAAUCCGGGUUGCGGACAGUGUCUGGUGGGUAGUUUGACUGGGGCGGUCUCCUCCCAAAGAGUAACGGAGGAGCACGAAGGUUAGCUAAUCCUGGUCGGACAUCAGGAGGUUAGUGCAAUGGCAUAAGCUAGCUUGACUGCGAGAGUGACGGCUCGAGCAGGUGCGAAAGCAGGUCAUAGUGAUCCGGUGGUUCUGAAUGGAAGGGCCAUCGCUCAACGGAUAAAAGGUACUCCGGGGAUAACAGGCUGAUACCGCCCAAGAGUUCAUAUCGACGGCGGUGUUUGGCACCUCGAUGUCGGCUCAUCACAUCCUGGGGCUGAAGUAGGUCCCAAGGGUAUGGCUGUUCGCCAUUUAAAGUGGUACGCGAGCUGGGUUUAGAACGUCGUGAGACAGUUCGGUCCCUAUCUGCCGUGGGCGCUGGAGAAUUGAGGGGGGCUGCUCCUAGUACGAGAGGACCGGAGUGGACGCAUCACUGGUGUUCGGGUUGUCAUGCCAAUGGCACUGCCCGGUAGCUAAAUGCGGAAAAGAUAAGUGCUGAAAGCAUCUAAGCACGAAACUUGCCCCGAGAUGAGUUCUCCCUGACUCCUUGAGAGUCCUGAAGGAACGUUGAAGACUACGACGUUGAUAGGUCGGGUGUGUAAGCGCAGCGAUGCGUUGAGCUAACCGAUACUAAUGAACCGUGAGGCUUAACCUUACAACGCCGAAGCUGUU
This 2932-nucleotide ribosomal RNA is filed under the name Enterobacter sp. Crenshaw. RNAcentral's name for it is "bacterial LSU rRNA". It matches the Rfam family "Bacterial large subunit ribosomal RNA". The record is from RNAcentral. Lineage: Bacteria; Pseudomonadati; Pseudomonadota; Gammaproteobacteria; Enterobacterales; Enterobacteriaceae.